UGGGGAAUAUUGCACAAUGGGCGCAAGCCUGAUGCAGCCAUGCCGCGUGUGUGAAGAGGCCUUCGGGUUGUAAAGCACUUUCAGCGAGGAGGAAGGUGUGAACUUAAUACGUCAUCAAUUGACGUUACUCGCAGAAGAAGCACCGGCUAACUCCGUGCCAGCAGCCGCGGUAAUACGGAGGGUGCAAGCGUUAAUCGGAAUUACUGGGCGUAAAGCGCACGCAGGCGGUUUGUUAAGUCAGAUGUGAAAUCCCCGGGCUCAACCUGGGAACUGCAUUUGAAACUGGCAAGCUAGAGUCUCGUAGAGGGGGGUAGAAUUCCAGGUGUAGCGGUGAAAUGCGUAGAGAUCUGGAGGAAUACCGGUGGCGAAGGCGGCCCCCUGGACGAAGACUGACGCUCAGGUGCGAAAGCGUGGGGAGCAAACAGGAUUAGAUACCCCUGG
RNAcentral lists this ribosomal RNA (441 nucleotides) under uncultured bacterium. RNAcentral describes it as "partial 16S ribosomal RNA". It matches the Rfam family "Bacterial small subunit ribosomal RNA", at positions 355 to 790 of the family's 1533-position model. The record is from RNAcentral.